Triticum urartu is the source of this 351-nucleotide non-coding RNA. The record is from RefSeq and is a predicted model, not a curated record. Lineage: Eukaryota; Viridiplantae; Streptophyta; Magnoliopsida; Poales; Poaceae.
UCAUCCUAUCUUUGAACUUAGAUAUGUCUACUUGUGUGGUUUUAGAUGACUACAGGAGUUCUUUGAAACCAGAAAUGGUGGAAGCCUUGGUGUGCGGUGCUAGUUAUAUCAAAGGUUCUCACAAGGACUUCAAUGUGGUGGAGAGAGAUGAAGAUGAGGAGGACGAUGUUGAGAAUAUCAAGUUGCCCAAGAUUGUUGAUGUGGGGGAUAACAACAAUUGAUAAUCGUCAUGUUGGUGUUGCUCUUGCUACUUUGAAGAUGGAUGUCUACAUGAUCUUGUCAUGUGGAUUGUUGAGGUCAACGCGAUCGUCUCGAGCCAUUUCUUUUGUUGUCAUGAACUUCGAAUUAUGU